UGGGGAAUUUUGGACAAUGGGCGCAAGCCUGAUCCAGCCAUGCCGCGUGCGGGAAGAAGGCCUUCGGGUUGUAAACCGCUUUUGUCAGGGAAGAAAUCUUCUGGGUUAAUACCUCGGGAGGAUGACGGUACCUGAAGAAUAAGCACCGGCUAACUACGUGCCAGCAGCCGCGGUAAUACGUAGGGUGCAAGCGUUAAUCGGAAUUACUGGGCGUAAAGCGUGCGCAGGCGGUUAUGCAAGACAGAUGUGAAAUCCCCGGGCUCAACCUGGGAACUGCAUUUGUGACUGCAUGGCUAGAGUGCGGCAGAGGGGGAUGGAAUUCCGCGUGUAGCAGUGAAAUGCGUAGAUAUGCGGAGGAACACCGAUGGCGAAGGCAAUCCCCUGGGCCUGCACUGACGCUCAUGCACGAAAGCGUGGGGAGCAAACAGGAUUAGAUACCCUGGUAGUCCACGCCCUAAACGAUGUCAACUGGUUGUUGGGAAGGUUCCUUCUCAGCAACGUAGCUAACGCGUGAAGUUGACCGCCUGGGGAGUACGGCCGCAAGGUUG
Molecule: ribosomal RNA, 548 nt
Filed under: uncultured bacterium
Lineage: Bacteria
Description: bacterial SSU rRNA
Rfam family: Bacterial small subunit ribosomal RNA
Source: RNAcentral